UUGUUGUUGUAGUAUCACAUUCGAGGGGUGAAAGGUUAACAUUGUUUUCUCCAACAUUUCCUUAUCAGUAAUAUUUUCAGCACAUAGAAUCAGUUGUGAUAUGAUUCUAAACGUUUUCGAGUGGUACUCGCUAAUCGACUUAAAGUCUUGAAACCUUAAAUUGAUCCACUCGUAACGAGCACUCGGUAAUAUUACCAUUUUCUGGUGGUCAUACCUUUCUUUCAGGUUGGUAUAAAGGACAAGGGAUCCUUGAUAGUGAGGUACUCACUUUUCAAAGCCUCAUGAAUAUGAUGAAUAUAAUGGCAUAAAAGAUCAUGGCUUUUGCCUAAUCUUGGGUAUUUGCUUUAUUUCCUUCUUUAAUUGUUUCACCCAGAUUAUUGGCAUUCAAAUGUAUUUCAGCAUCCAAUACCCAUGACAAAUAGUUUUCCGAGUUCAUAAAUUCAAGCUUUGCAAGAUUUGUCAUGGUAGAACUAUAUUGUAAAAAAAACAUAUUAAUUAGUACAUAUCAAACUUAAACAACAUAUAUAUACAACGAUGAUUAUUGAGACAACAAUAUUACCUAUUACAAUAAUAAAAUAAUUUAGAUUUCAUAUACUUUUCAAAACAUCAUAUAUGUUCACGACGAAUUAAUUAUGUUAAAUAUACUUUGUGUGUAUAGAUAUAUAAUAUAUUAGAAUUAAGAAAGUUCUGUAACAUGAUAAUUUAUUUACAUUAAAAGAGAAUGUAAAAGAACUAUUGUUUGUUUACGCAUAUGUCAGAGGACCUCAUAAUAAAAGAAAAUGUAAAUUUUUUUUGAUGGUCCUAGUAAUGUGUAUCUAAUCUUAAUAGAAGGUUCCAACAAAAUGCUACGUGGCAACUCUACAUCUCUCCUCACUAAAACCCCUAUGACCCGAAAGUUCCUUUUUUGUAGAUCUUGACCCGAACCAAUCAGCAAACCCUAUUUUUGCUUUCUUCUUCAUUCAUACCCUCCAAAGAUAAUCUUGGUCGUCUCUUACUUUGCAUCCUUUCAGAUUCAACAUUUAUCUGUCAUGAAACCGUUAUCUCCAGCAAUAUCAGUUCUUGCCUGCGUAACCCUCAGUCUGAGAAACAACAGUUGGAUAUUUUAUCUACAUUGGCGGAUGGAAACUUUGUCUCGACUUUGCUAGCGCUCCAUAUGUGAGUCCCUUAAACUACAUAAUUUUAUAUUACUUGAAUCACAUUUUUGUUAUCUACACAUUUAGGUGUUUCUAGAUGGAGGUUUGAAACAACAGGGAACGUGUACAUGCUCUUUUAUC
Molecule: long non-coding RNA, 1274 nt
Filed under: Helianthus annuus (common sunflower)
Lineage: Eukaryota; Viridiplantae; Streptophyta; Magnoliopsida; Asterales; Asteraceae
Description: sRNA HanXRQr2_Chr15g0700891
Source: RNAcentral